Molecule: ribosomal RNA, 400 nt
Filed under: uncultured bacterium
Lineage: Bacteria
Description: bacterial SSU rRNA
Rfam family: Bacterial small subunit ribosomal RNA
Source: RNAcentral
UCGAGAAUUUUUCUCAAUGGGCGAAAGCCUGAAGGAGCGACGCCGCGUGGGGGAUGAAGGGCUUCGGCUCGUAAACCCCUGUCAUUCGCGAACAAACCCUCUGACUUAACACGUCAGUGGCUGAUUGUAGCGGAAGAGGAAGGGACGGCUAACUCUGUGCCAGCAGCCGCGGUAAUACAGAGGUCCCAAGCGUUGUUCGGAUUCACUGGGCGUAAAGGGUGCGUAGGUGGCCGGGUAAGUCUGAUGUGAAAUCUCCGAGCUCAACUCGGAAAAUGCAUUGGAAACUGCUUGGCUAGAGGAUUGGAGGGGAGACUGGAAUUCUCGGUGUAGCAGUGAAAUGCGUAGAUAUCGAGAGGAACACCAGUGGCGAAAGCGAGUCUCUGGACAAUUCCUGACACUG